AAUGGGUCAGCGACUUAUAUUCUGUAGCAAGGUUAACCGUAUAGGGGAGCCGGAGGGAAACCGAGUCUUAACCGGGCGUUAAGUUGCAGGGUAUAGACCCGAAACCCGGUGAUCUAGCCAUGGGCAGGUUGAAGGUUGGGUAACACUAACUGGAGGACCGAACCGACUAAUGUUGAAAAAUUAGCGGAUGACCUGUGGCUGGGGGUGAAAGGCCAAUCAAACCGGGAGAUAGCUGGUUCUCCCCGAAAGCUAUUUAGGUAGCGCCUCGUGAAUUCAUCUCCGGGGGUAGAGCACUGUUUCGGCUAGGGGGCCAUCCCGGCUUACCAACCCGAUGCAAACUGCGAAUACCGGAGAAUGUUAUCACGGGAGACACACGGCGGGUGCUAACGUCCGUCGUGAAGAGGGAAACAACCCAGACCGCCAGCUAAGGUCCCAAAGUCAUGGUUAAGUGGGAAACGAUGUGGGAAGGCCCAGACAGCCAGGAUGUUGGCUUAGAAGCAGCCAUCAUUUAAAGAAAGCGUAAUAGCUCACUGGUCGAGUCGGCCUGCGCGGAAGAUGUAACGGGGCUAAACCAUGCACCGAAGCUGCGGCAGCGAACGUAUCACCCAAGACAACUUUACGGAGUUGACGAUUGACGGAGCGAAGCGACGUCAAAGCGUUCAUUAAAGUCGAGUUGGCUUAGGGAUACGUUCGUUGGGUAGGGGAGCGUUCUGUAAGCCUGUGAAGGUGUGUCGUGAGGCAUGCUGGAGGUAUCAGAAGUGCGAAUGCUGACAUAAGUAACGAUAAAGCGGGUGAAAAGCCCGCUCGCCGGAAGACCAAGGGUUCCUGUCCAACGUUAAUCGGGGCAGGGUGAGUCGACCCCUAAGGCGAGGCCGAAAGGCGUAGUCGAUGGGAAACGGGUUAAUAUUCCCGUACUUGGUGUUACUGCGAAGGGGGGACGGAGAAGGCUAUGUUGGCCGGGCGACGGUUGUCCCGGUUUAAGCGUGUAGGUGUGUGUUCCAGGUAAAUCCGGUUCACUUUAACACUGAGGCGUGACGACGAGGCACUACGGUGCUGAAGCAACAAAUGCCCUGCUUCCAGGAAAAGCCUCUAAGCAUCAGGUAACAUCAAAUCGUACCCCAAACCGACACAGGUGGUCAGGUAGAGAAUACCAAGGCGCUUGAGAGAACUCGGGUGAAGGAACUAGGCAAAAUGGUGCCGUAACUUCGGGAGAAGGCACGCUGACACGUAGGUGAAGUGAUUUACUCAUGGAGCUGAAGUCAGUCGAAGAUACCAGCUGGCUGCAACUGUUUAUUAAAAACACAGCACUGUGCAAACACGAAAGUGGACGUAUACGGUGUGACGCCUGCCCGGUGCCGGAAGGUUAAUUGAUGGGGUCAGCGCAAGCGAAGCUCCUGAUCGAAGCCCCGGUAAACGGCGGCCGUAACUAUAACGGUCCUAAGGUAGCGAAAUUCCUUGUCGGGUAAGUUCCGACCUGCACGAAUGGCGUAAUGAUGGCCAGGCUGUCUCCACCCGAGACUCAGUGAAAUUGAACUCGCUGUGAAGAUGCAGUGUACCCGCGGCAAGACGGAAAGACCCCGUGAACCUUUACUAUAGCUUGACACUGAACAUUGAGCCUUGAUGUGUAGGAUAGGUGGGAGGCUUUGAAGUGUGGACGCCAGUCUGCAUGGAGCCGACCUUGAAAUACCACCCUUUAAUGUUUGAUGUUCUAACGUGGACCCGUAAUCCGGGUUGCGGACAGUGUCUGGUGGGUAGUUUGACUGGGGCGGUCUCCUCCUAAAGAGUAACGGAGGAGCACGAAGGUUGGCUAAUCCUGGUCGGACAUCAGGAGGUUAGUGCAAUGGCAUAAGCCAGCUUGACUGCGAGCGUGACGGCGCGAGCAGGUGCGAAAGCAGGUCAUAGUGAUCCGGUGGUUCUGAAUGGAAGGGCCAUCGCUCAACGGAUAAAAGGUACUCCGGGGAUAACAGGCUGAUACCGCCCAAGAGUUCAUAUCGACGGCGGUGUUUGGCACCUCGAUGUCGGCUCAUCACAUCCUGGGGCUGAAGUAGGUCCCAAGGGUAUGGCUGUUCGCCAUUUAAAGUGGUACGCGAGCUGGGUUUAGAACGUCGUGAGACAGUUCGGUCCCUAUCUGCCGUGGGCGCUGGAGAACUGAGGGGGGCUGCUCCUAGUACGAGAGGACCGGAGUGGACGCAUCACUGGUGUUCGGGUUGUCAUGCCAAUGGCACUGCCCGGUAGCUAAAUGCGGAAGAGAUAAGUGCUGAAAGCAUCUAAGCACGAAACUUGCCCCGAGAUGAGUUCUCCCUGAGACUUAGAGUCUCCUGAAGGAACGUUGAAGACGACGACGUUGAUAGGCCGGGUGUGUAAGCGCAGCGAUGCGUUGAGCUAACCGGUACUAAUGAACCGUGAGGCUUAACCUUACA
Molecule: ribosomal RNA, 2420 nt
Filed under: Salmonella enterica subsp. enterica serovar Typhimurium
Lineage: Bacteria; Pseudomonadati; Pseudomonadota; Gammaproteobacteria; Enterobacterales; Enterobacteriaceae
Description: partial 23S ribosomal RNA
Rfam family: Bacterial large subunit ribosomal RNA
Source: RNAcentral